AUGAUGACGGAACUAACAGAAAAAUACCAGCAUCCUUUACGUGCCAAACUGAAAGUAAAGCCUAAGCUAGGAGGAGGAGCUUUCCAGGGCACGCUUACUGCUACCCCCUGCUCGACCUACAAAACACACUUUAAACAUCAGGACCGCACAAAGGUGCCAAAACAGACCAUCUCUGGAUCUGUAUCACCAGGAAAGGCACAACAGGACCAAAAGGAACGCAAAUUGGUGGCACUUCAAUCUGGAACUAGCAAUCAAGUAGGGCACCCAAGUUGCACAACAGAUCUAUCCCGCCAGGAUGAAUUAUUUAUCCAUGGCAUGUAA
Molecule: ribosomal RNA, 321 nt
Filed under: Triticum aestivum (bread wheat)
Lineage: Eukaryota; Viridiplantae; Streptophyta; Magnoliopsida; Poales; Poaceae
Description: partial small subunit ribosomal RNA
Source: RNAcentral